UCGUAACAAGGUAUUCCGUUGGUGAACCAGCGGAGGGAUCAUUGA
This 45-nucleotide ribosomal RNA is filed under the name Diaporthe helianthi. RNAcentral describes it as "partial 18S ribosomal RNA". The record is from RNAcentral. Lineage: Eukaryota; Fungi; Ascomycota; Sordariomycetes; Diaporthales; Diaporthaceae.